AGCGAACGCUGGCGGUAUGCUUAACACAUGCAAGUCGAGCGAGAAAAUGGCUUCGGCCAUGAGUACAGCGGCGGACGGGUGAGUAAUACAUGGAUAAUCUGCCUUUAGGACCGGGACAACCCAGGGAAACUUGGGCUAAUACCGGAUAAGACCACAGAAUCUCCGGAUUCAGUGGUAAAAGAUGGCUUCGGCUAUCACCUAUAGAUGAGUCCAUGUCCCAUCAGGUAGUUGGUGAGGUAACGGCCCACCAAGCCGAAGACGGGUAGCCGACCUUAGCGGGUGAUCGGCCACACGGGGACUGAGACACGGCCCCGACUCCUACGGGAGGCAGCAGUGGGGAAUAUUGGACAAUGGGCGCAAGCCUGAUCCAGCAAUACCGCGUGAGGGAUGAAGGCUUUCGAGUCGUAAACCUCUGUCAGUUGGAACGAUGGGUCUGUAGGUUAACACCCUGCAGACUUGACGGUACCUUCAAAGGAAGCCCCGGCUAACUCCGUG
Molecule: ribosomal RNA, 495 nt
Filed under: uncultured bacterium
Lineage: Bacteria
Description: bacterial SSU rRNA
Rfam family: Bacterial small subunit ribosomal RNA
Source: RNAcentral